UUACGGGAGGCAGCAGUCGAGAAUUUUUCACAAUGGGCGCAAGCCUGAUGGAGCGACGCCGCGUGGGGGAUGAAGGGCUUCGGCCCGUAAACCCCUGUCAUUUGCGAACAAUUCUUUUCCGAUAACACCGGAAAAGUUGAUGGUAGCGAAAGAGGAAGGGACGGCUAACUCUGUGCCAGCAGCCGCGGUAAUACAGAGGUCCCAAGCGUUGUUCGGAUUCACUGGGCGUAAAGGGUGCGUAGGUGGUGAGGUAAGUCGGAUGUGAAAUCUCUGAGCUCAACUCAGAAAUGGCAUUGGAAACUACCUUGCUAGAGGAUUGGAGGGGGGACUGGAAUUCUCGGUGUAGCAGUGAAAUGCGUAGAGAUCGAGAGGAACACCAGUGGCGAAGGCGAGUCCCUGGACAAUUCCUGACGCUGAGGCACGAAAGCUAGGGGAGCAAACAGGAUUAGAUACCCCGGU
RNAcentral lists this ribosomal RNA (459 nucleotides) under uncultured bacterium. RNAcentral's name for it is "bacterial SSU rRNA". It matches the Rfam family "Bacterial small subunit ribosomal RNA", at positions 339 to 791 of the family's 1533-position model. The record is from RNAcentral.